RNAcentral lists this ribosomal RNA (253 nucleotides) under uncultured bacterium. RNAcentral's name for it is "partial 16S ribosomal RNA". It matches the Rfam family "Bacterial small subunit ribosomal RNA", at positions 524 to 776 of the family's 1533-position model. The record is from RNAcentral.
UACGAAGGGGGCUAGCGUUGUUCGGAAUUACUGGGCGUAAAGCGCGCGCAGGCGGUUCUUUAAGUCAGGGGUGAAAGCCCAGAGCUCAACUCUGGAAUUGCCUUUGAAACUAGAGAACUUGGGUACGGGAGAGGUGAGUGGAAUUCCGAGUGUAGAGGUGAAAUUCGUAGAUAUCGGGAGGAACACCAGUGGCGAAGGCGGCGAUCUGGGAAGAUACUGACGCUGAGGUGCGAAAGCGUGGGGAGCAAACAGG